Molecule: ribosomal RNA, 492 nt
Filed under: uncultured bacterium
Lineage: Bacteria
Description: partial 16S ribosomal RNA
Rfam family: Bacterial small subunit ribosomal RNA
Source: RNAcentral
AGUGAACGCUGGCGGUAGGCCUAACACAUGCAAGUCGAACGGCAGCACAGUAAGAUCUUGCUCUUACGGGUGGCGAGUGGCGGACGGGUGAGGAAUACAUCGGAAUCUACUUUUUCGUGGGUGAUAACGUAGGGAAACUUACGCUAAUACCGCAUACUACCUACGGGUGAAAGCAGGGGAUCUUCGGACCUUUCGCGAUUGAAUGAGCCGAUGUCGGAUUAGCUAGUUGGCGGGGUAAAGGCCCACCAAGGCGACGAUCCGUAGCUGGUCUGAGAGGAUGAUCAGCCACACUGGAACUGAGACACGGUCCAGACUCCUACGGGAGGCAGCAGUGGGGAAUAUUGGACAAAGGGCGCAAGCCUGAUCCAGCCAUACCGCGUGGGUGAAGAAGGCCUUCGGGUUGUAAAGCCCUUUUGUUGGGAAAGAAAAGCAGCAGGUUAAUACCCCGCUGUUCUGACGGUACCCAAAGAAUAAGCACCGGCUAACUUCGUG